RNAcentral lists this ribosomal RNA (433 nucleotides) under uncultured bacterium. RNAcentral describes it as "partial 16S ribosomal RNA". It matches the Rfam family "Bacterial small subunit ribosomal RNA", at positions 29 to 507 of the family's 1533-position model. The record is from RNAcentral.
AACGAACGCUGGCGGCAUGCCUAACACAUGCAAGUCGAACGAUGCCUUCGGGCAUAGUGGCGCACGGGUGCGUAACGCGUGGGAAUCUGCCUUUCGGUUCGGAAUAACUCGGGGAAACUUGAGCUAAUACCGGAUAACGUCGCAAGACCAAAGAUUUAUCACCGUAAGAUGAGCCCGCGUAGGAUUAGCUAGUUGGUGAGGUAAAGGCUCACCAAGGCGACGAUCCUUAGCUGGUCUGAGAGGAUGAUCAGCCACACUGGGACUGAGACACGGCCCAGACUCCUACGGGAGGCAGCAGUGGGGAAUAUUGGACAAUGGGCGAAAGCCUGAUCCAGCAAUGCCGCGUGAGUGAUGAAGGCCUUAGGGUUGUAAAGCUCUUUUACCCGGGAAGAUAAUGACGGUACCGGGAGAAUAAGCCCCGGCUAACUCCGUG